Molecule: long non-coding RNA, 2632 nt
Filed under: Homo sapiens (human)
Lineage: Eukaryota; Metazoa; Chordata; Mammalia; Primates; Hominidae
Description: non-protein coding lnc-POTEI-2:7
Source: RNAcentral
GACCAGGCGGCUGGGCAGCGCCAGUUGAAAGCGGUUGAGCAGGCCGGGCGCAGUGGCUCACGCCUGUAAUCCCAGCACUUUGGGAGACCAAGGCGGGCCGAUCACGGGGUCAGGAGAUCGAGACCAUCCUGGCUAACACGGUGAAACCCCAUCUCUACUAAACAUACAAAAAAAAAAAAGUAGCCGGGCGUGGUGGCGGGCGCCUGUAGUCUCAGCACUUUGGAAGGCUGAGGCGGGCGGAUCACGAGGUCAGGAGAUGGAGAACAUCCUGGCUAACAGGUGAAACCCCGUCUCUACUAAAAGUACAAAAACCAAUUAGCCGGGUGCGGUGGCGGGCGCCUGUAGUCCCAGCUACUCCGGAGGCUGAGGCAGGAGAAUGGCGUGAACCCAGGAGAUGGAGCUUGCAGUGAGCCGAGAUCGCGCCAAUGCACUCUAGCCUGGACGACACAAGGAGACUCCAUCUCAAAACAACAACAACAACAACAACAACAACAACAACAACAACAAAAACAACAAAAACCAGCUGAGCAGCGCGGGCCUUCUGGCAGCGGGUCCAGCUCCAGGGCGCCCUAGGGCAGCGGCGUGCAGUGUUCGGGUAAUAGGACGCAGACGGUGGGGUCGCCGGGGGCUUCGGGGUGGCCUCGGCCCCAGGCCAUCCAGCCCUGUGGACCGAAUGGAGUCCCACACGCUGUUGAGGUAGUUGUGGGUUCCCCUGGCCUCGGGCUCGGCGCAGGGUCAGCGCUCCUGCAGGCGGCGCUUGCGGUACGGGCUGGUGAAAGUGGAGACGGACGGCAGGAUGGAUUCACUUGGCGACAUGGCGGGGAGCUGGGAAGACGGACACCGACCUAAGUCAAUGUUAGUCUACCACUGUACGUCUGGUAACCUCAAUCCCUGCAACCGGAGCAAAAUGUGAUUCCAGGUCUUGGCAACCUCUGAAAUUCCAACUCCAUUUGCGAGAGCUUUGAGGAGGCCAUAUGCUGAUUUCACCACAAGCAACUUCACAACCCAGUACUGGAAUGCCAUCAGCCAGCAGGCCCCUGCCAUUAUCUGUGACUUCUAUCUGUGGCUCAUUGGAAGGAAACCCAGCUACCGAAGGAAGAUACCCUCAUCAACCCAAUUUUACAAAUGGAGAAAUAGAAGCUCAGGGAAGAAUCUGAAGUAGUCUCAAAGGAAGUGACAGGAAGGAUGUGGAGAAAGCUGAGUGUCAAAGUCAGUAUUCAAGACCGGAUUUACUGCUACUUAGAGAUGAAUGAAGAAAUCAGAGGGAACGCAGUGUGCUGAUGCUAAAGCGGCUGUCACCACCCAGCUGUGUGACAUAGGACAUCUUCUUUCUCUGUCUCACUUGACUAAUAUGUUGUGUCAGGGGAGACAUGAUUGUAAUUGCCUAAAGCAAUUCUUGUGAUCAAGAAUCAGAAGCAUGAACAGUAUUGCCCUCUGUGUUAGCCCCUUUAUAAGGGAGGAAGUCAUCUUCAGCAUGCUGAAUUGUCAUCUUUCUUAGCAGUGCAAAUGACUAAAACUUAGCCAAUGUAGAGUUUGUCCAAAUUUGGAGCUCAUAACUCAGUUCUUGAGCAAAGUGAAAAGAAAACAUUGUGAUUAUGGGGAAAAUAUUUGUACGGGACUUAUCAAAUAAAGAUAGGAAAAGAAGAAAACUCAAAUAUUAUAGGCAGAAAUGCUAAAGGUUUUAAAAUAUGUCAGGAUUGGAAGAAGGCAUGGAUAAAGAACAAAGUUCAGUUAGGAAAGAGAAACACAGAAGGAAGAGACACAAUAAAAGUCAUUAUGUAUUCUGUGAGAAGUCAGACAGUAAGAUUUGUGGGAAAUGGGUUGGUUUGUUGUAUGGUAUGUAUUUUAGCAAUAAUCUUUAUGGCAGAGAAAGCUAAAAUCCUUUAGCUUGCGUGAAUGAUCACUUGCUGAAUUCCUCAAGGUAGGCAUGAUGAAGGAGGGUUUAGAGGAGACACAGACACAAUGAACUGACCUAGAUAGAAAGCCUUAGUAUACUCAGCUAGGAAUAGUGAUUCUGAGGGCACACUGUGACAUGAUUAUGUCAUUACAUGUAUGGUAGUGAUGGGGAUGAUAGAAGGAAGAACUUAUGGCAUAUUUUCACCCCCACAAAAAUCAGUUAAAUAUUGGGACACUAACCAUCCAGGUCAAGAAAAGUCACAUGCCAUAGCCAUGGUAUUGCACAUCAUUCAUCUUGCAUUCUUUGAGAAUAAGAAGAUCAGUAAAUAGUUCAGAAGUGGGAAGCUUUGUCCAGGCCUGUGUGUGAACCCAAUGUUUUGUUUAGAAAUAGAACAAGUAAGUUCAUUGCUAUAGCAUAACACAAAAUUUGCAUAAGUGGUGGUCAGCAAAUCCUUGAAUGCUGCUUAAUGUGAGAGGUUGGUAAAAUCCUUUGUGCAACACUCUAACUCCCUGAAUGUUUUGCUGUGCUGGGACCUGUGCAUGCCAGACAAGGCCAAGCUGGCUGAAAGAGCAACCAGCCACCUCUGCAAUCUGCCACCUCCUGCUGGCAGGAUUUGUUUUUGCAUCCUGUGAAGAGCCAAGGAGGCACCAGGGCAUAAGUCUACUCACUUAUAUCUGUUUGUCUGGAACAUAACCCAUGUUUGUUUUUACAACAAAUAAAAUUGAUCUUGAAUAA